AUUGUCAGUAAAAAUGCUCCCAAGCUGAGGUGCAUAACAUUAAUUCAUUGGGCCUAGUUCUAUCCAUGAUCACAGCUAAAGAAAAAGAAAAAAAAAAUGUUAGUCAUUUAACUGUAAUUUGUAAAAUAAAAAUCAAUCAGCCUUGUUAUAUCUUCCAAUAAGGUUAUAUUACUGAAUUUUAGUAAAAUUUCAGUCAAACUUAUAAUAUAACCAGAUAUCUACCAGAAUCAAGCAAGUGACUUUAAACACAAUAGAGUGAUUUUAUGCUACAAAUUGAAGAUACCACGCUGAAUUAAAUGGUAAGUUCAAUCCAUAAAUGAAAUUAUAUCUUUGUUGGUAGAAAUAAACUUAGCUUCCAAAAUAAUCAAUCUUCCAAGCAUAUCAUGAAACAUAUUACCUCCUAAACCAAUAAAGGCAAAAUGAUAUUAAUAAAUAAUAAUGACUUCAUGAGUUUCAAUUCAGAACCAUUUCUCAAUUUUUAGCAAUGAAAUCAGACAUCUCACAUGGUGGACUAUACCUGUAUAACGAUAUAUUAAAUGACUUCAAGUUCUCCUGUCAAAGGUUGAGUAGGAAGCAAAGAUGAAAAGAGAAUCUUUUUUUGUGAUCAUUGUUAUUAAAGGCAGGCCUCAAGCUCAAGGCUCACCAGCCUCCAAGCCUCCAACCCUAACGCCUUUACAAGAAAAAUGCAAGCGACAUUCACCAGGCACUCGCCUUAUGCGCCUAAGCAUGUGCCUUGUUCCAAGUGCAAGGUUCUAAAAAGGCACGCCUUCUUUUUUUUCCACCUUUGGCAAGCAUUUCCAUUAGCAUAAAGCACUUCCACCUUCAGCAAGCACUUCCAUCUGUUGAUUUACUAGAAUCCAAUACUAACGCACUAGAAAUUUUUCAAAAUUAGUAUCGUUGGUAAUAACUAAUCAUCGAAAUCUUAUCAAACCACCACACUCAGACUUGCAAAUCUCUCAUAUUUCCAUGUAUAGCACUACCACUCUCUUAUUAUCU
This 996-nucleotide unclassified non-coding RNA is filed under the name Hevea brasiliensis (rubber tree). Lineage: Eukaryota; Viridiplantae; Streptophyta; Magnoliopsida; Malpighiales; Euphorbiaceae. The record is from RNAcentral.